RNAcentral lists this long non-coding RNA (355 nucleotides) under Homo sapiens (human). RNAcentral describes it as "HSALNT0231655". The record is from RNAcentral. Lineage: Eukaryota; Metazoa; Chordata; Mammalia; Primates; Hominidae.
GAAUCCCUGAAGCUUUUUGACAGCAUCUGCAACAACAAAUGGUUCACAGACACGUCCAUCAUCCUGUUUCUUAACAAGAAGGACAUAUUUGAAGAGAAGAUCAAGAAGUCCCCGCUCACCAUCUGCUUUCCUGAAUAUACAGCCCCAGCGCCUUCACAGAAGCCGUGGCUUACAUCCAGGCCCAGUACGAGAGCAAGAACAAGUCAGCCCACAAAGAGAUCUACACCCACGUCACCUGCGCCACGGACACCAACAACAUCCAGUUUGUCUUUGAUGCUGUGACGGACGUCAUCAUCGCCAAAAACCUGCGGGGCUGUGGACUCUACUGAGCCCAGCCGCCCUGCCCGGCACCCUU